CUGCUCCCACACCCACACCCGCUGCGGCCCAGGGCCUCCCAGACAGGCCGGUUGGCCGGCUCAGCCGGGAGAGCCGGUGUCUGCACCAGGACCUGCCGGCGUUGGCCGCGGACAUGACGCCUGAGGACCAGGAGGAGACCCAGCCGCUCCUGCGGCCGCCGGGUGGCAGCGUCCCCCGCGGCCGCCGCGUCUUCCUCGCCGCCUUCGCCGCUGCCCUGGGCCCGCUCAGCUUCGGCUUCGCGCUCGGAUACAGCUCCCCGGCCAUCCCGAGCCUGCGCCGCGCCGCGCCCCCGGCCCCACGCCUCAGCGACGACGCCGCCUCCUGGUUCGGGGCCAUCGUGACCCUGGGCGCGGCGGCGGGCGGCGUGCUGGGGGGCUGGCUGGUGGACCGCGCCGGGCGCAAGCUGAGCCUCCUGAUCUGCACGGUGCCCUUCGUGGCCGGCUUUGCCGUCAUCACCGCCGCCCAGGAAGUGUGGAUGCUGCUCGGGGGCCGCCUCCUCACCGGCCUGGCCUGCGGCGUUGCCUCGCUAGUGGCCCCGGUCUACAUCUCUGAGAUUGCCUACCCUGAAGUGCGGGGGCUGCUGGGCUCCUGUGUGCAGCUGAUGGUUGUCACGGGCAUCCUCCUGGCCUAUCUGGCAGGCUGGAUCCUGGAGUGGCGCUGGCUGGCCGUGCUGGGCUGUGUGCCCCCCUCCUUCAUGCUGCUGCUCAUGUGCUGCAUGCCCGAGACCCCGCGCUUCCUGCUGACUCAGCACAGGCGCCAGGAAGCCCUGGCUGCCGUGCGGUUCCUGUGGGGCUCUGAGCAGGGCUGGGAAGAGCCCCCUGUCGGGGCUGAGCACCAGCAGGGCUUCCAGCUGGCCCAGCUGAGGCGGCCCGGCAUCUACAAGCCCUUCGCCGUCGGCAUCUCACUCAUGGUGUUCCAGCAGCUGUCGGGGAUCAACGCGGUCAUGUUCUACGCAGAGACUAUCUUUGAAGAGGCCAAGUUCAAGAACAGCAGCCUGGCCUCCGUCAUCGUGGGCGUCAUCCAGGUGCUGUUCACGGCCGGGGCGGCCCUGGUCAUGGACAGAGCCGGGCGGCGGCUGCUCCUGGCCUUGUCAGGUGUGGUCAUGGUGUUCAGCACCAGUGCCUUUGGCACCUACUUCAAGCUGACGCAGGGUAGCCCCAGCAACUCCUCACACGUCGACCUCUUGGCGCCCGUCUCCGUGGAGCCUGCCGACCCCAGUGUAGGGCUGGCCUGGCUGGCGGUGGGCAGCAUGUGCCUCUUCAUUGCUGGCUUCGCUGUGGGCUGGGGGCCCAUCCCCUGGCUCCUCAUGUCGGAGAUCUUCCCUCUGCACGUCAAGGGCGUGGCCACCGGCGUCUGUGUCCUCACCAACUGGCUCAUGGCCUUUCUGGUGACAAAAGAGUUCAGCAGCCUCAUGUUCCCUCAGCAACUCCUACCCAUACCACCUUCUGAUUGCUACCAGUACCCACUUAUAGGUACCAAGGACGGUGGACACACGUGCUCUUCAGAGGUCCCCUGAGACUGCCUUGGGGCCUUCCCAUCGGGGCACAAGAUGGGAAGAACCAGCCCCAGCUGGCAGUCCAGUAUCAGCCCAGCCCAGCACUGUCAGACACAGACCAUAGGGAAGAGGAGCAGGAUAAAGCAUUGCCACAGGACAGGUCCAGCAGAAGCUGUGCUCUACCCAGCCCACAUAAGACAGGUCUUUGUACUGGAUAACGGCAGAAAUCUGCAUUGCCUACCAAGAGUCACUCCAUCUCCAUCUCAUCCCGCUCCCCAUCCCCUCACCCCAACUCUUCCAGAAGAAUGCUGGCUUCUGGGAACCUAAGACAAGGCUUCUGGGUCCUAACGCCGCCCAGUGGCCGCAUGCGGAAUUGCAUCAAUUGAAGCCUGAAACACUGCUUCCUCCCAGGGGCCAUGGGUAAGAAACCCUCUGCUACCACCUAGUGGCCAGUGUGGGGUUAGCACCUGUUGGGCCUGUGGCUGCAGGCAGAACCGCACCAACUGGAAGGAGUCAAAAAUCAAUGAGUGUCGGCAGCCCUGGAAGCUGGAAGAGGCAAGGAAACAGAUUCUCCCCUAGAGCCUCUGGAAGGCAUGUAACCCUGCCAACACCUUGAUUUUACCCCAGUGAUAUCCAUCUCCGACUUCUGACCUCCAAAAUCGUAAGCCCCAAAUUUCAGAAGCCAAAAGUGGAAAUGGGCUUAUCUCAAAGGGAUCUGUGAGCGUGACUUGCCUAAUGGAGUUAAUCCAGUAAGAUUCAUACAGGACUCACUAAGAGGGUUAUAUUGGCAAAAACGCUACCAGCUGUGACUGAAAGGGGCCGAGACCGUACAACGUGAGAAGAGGCCUUAGGACCCCUACACUCAUUUCCGCUUCCCAGGUAACGCAUUCCCGUCUUAUUGUCAAAAUGCCUCUAAAAUUGAAUUGGGUUAUCGGAAAAUUGCUUGUGUGGUGAAGAAUUUUCAUCAAUGCUCUGCGGAAGUCCAUUGAAAUAUCCCCUGACGCAGCAGAGAAUCCUCCAAUGGACAGAAAGUUCAGGAAUCUUCUUUUGCAACAGUGCUGACCAAACACUAUCAAAGUGUGUUUUUGCCCCUGAAAUUACUGAAGCGGUUCCCUCCUGCCGAUUGAUUUUAUACUUUGAGAAUGCCAGGCCACCAACCGGUGGCAGCCCUGUUCACACUGAGAGGCUCAAGAGGUGUGUGAAGCUGUCGAGCUGGGCCUGAGUUGAAGGUCCGGGAAGGAGAAAACCCUCUUCACCUGCUGCUCUGGGAACGUGACCAAUUGAAAAAUCAGGAGCCGAGAACCAGCGUAGAGCUGUUGUCUGCGCUAAAACUACAACUCCCAUGAUCCUUAGCGCCAAGUCGCUUCCUGUCUCAGAGGCUCCCGGCGUUGGAUUCCGGUGGACGUGAAGAGUAUGUGCGACAUAGCAUGAUGGGAAAUAGAUUCUGGGAGCGAGAACUGGCGGAAGCCUCUCUAGGACGCACGAUCCAGGACCGUGUGCGGAUCACAAAGCUGGCACCGAGAGAACAGGCUUUGACUAGGAAGAGAGCGCGGAGAUUUCUAGGGAAUAGAAGCUAGAGGGGCUGGAAGGCAAGUGCGCAUGACCGGAAGUGAUGCUGUUUUCGCGCGUCCUCUUUGGCGCGAGAAGAAGACGUGACGUUUGGCAGGACCUGAAGCCGGUUUCUCAGUUGGAGCCUGUACCCGGUUACCUGCCUGCGGUAUUUUCCCGCGGUGUUUUGUUUGAGGCUGAGUCGUUGGCUGCGCCUCGGGCUCCCCAGCCGAGGCCUGGCUGUGACUGGGAGACAGUGAAAGACCCGGCUGGACAGCCCCCACCCGAGCUCCCGGAGCCCAGCACCGCAGGCUCAGACCCGGCCUCGGGAGAAGGCGGGGGAGAGGAAUCCGCGGGCCGAGCAGGGAAGCGACGCUGGCGCCCGGGGAACUGCCGGGAGGCGGUGUCGCGUGGUGAUACCCGAAUGCUGGAGGAAGAAUCAUGAUCUCCAGACCCUAACCUUUCCCAAGAGGAAAGCACAGGAGAGGAAGGAAUGGGAAUGGUGACUAGUCUCCUCACAGCAGGGCCACAUAAAACCUGGGACACAAAAUGGGUGAUACUUAGGAGGAAGAAUGAAUAGGCACUUGGAUUUGUGGUGAAGGAUACCACCAGGUUUCUGGGCGGCCAACUAAGUGAAUGGAGGGAUCCACGCCCUUCAGCAAUGUGACUGCAGCUUUUCCUCACAGAGUGGAGGCACUUGGUCCGAGCUCCAAGGGAAGGGUUUGAGGAGAUACCAGAAAAGUCCAGGAACCUGGUCCUACUGGGACUUCCAGUUUCCCAGCCUGGUAUGGACUCCCAGUGAGAACAAGGGAAAAGCCCAUGGAUGCUGGAGGGAGAAGGCCUAAGGAGUGCCGGUCCAGCUCCAGGCGCAACACAGCUUACCCGAGGUUCCCCGCAGCCUGCUUCAGCUUCCAGCUGCCCUUCCAAGGUGGUCCUGGCGUGGCUCACACCUGCUCCAACGGCAGCUCUGGGCUCUCAAGUGGCUUCACCUCUGGACUCCUCACAGCCUGAUUCCACUCACGUCUGCCAAGAUGGUCCCAGCACAGCUUGCCCCUGGGACUUGUGGCUCACACCCGCCACAACUAAAGCUCCAGGCCCCAUUGUGACUUUCCCUGGACUCCGCAGCCUGAGCCCCUCCAACUGGCCUGCCAAGGCACGUCAGAGCACCUGUCCUCAGGACGCCUGCAGCUCUUACACAGGCCGCUCCAGAGGGUGCUGUUUAGCCUCAUUCAUAGAAACAGCCAAACGAGACAGAGAAAUAUGUCCCAAAUGAAAGAACAGGACAAAAGCCCAGGAAAAGAAUUAAAUGAGAUGGAGACAAGUAAUCUACCAAAUAGAGUUCAAAACACUGGUUAUAAGGAUGUUUUAUAAGGAUGUUUAGUGGACCCAGGAGAAUAGAUUAACUCAGCGAGAAUCACAAAGAGACUGGAAGACUGUGUCUGAAUCACCACCAGAGCAAGACCUUUCUGAAGAAUCAUUCCAAAACACAAGAGUAGAGAUACCUCCUGGGGAAUCAGAUCAUAGGAGCUGUGGAGAGGGGAAGAGCUUUAAUCUGCGAGCAGUCCUUUCUCCACAACAGAGAGCUCCUAAAGAAGUGAGACCCCAUAAAUGUGAAAUACAAACAGAGCCUCAGGAGGAAUUCAGACAUAAUUUAAAUCUCACAGAGCAAAACCAUACACACGUAAUGAGUGUGGCAAAGCCUUCAGUUACUGUUCUUCCCUUUCACAGCAUCAGAAGAGCCGCACGGGGAGAAGCCUUAUGCGUGCAAUGCAUGUGGGAAGGCCUUCAGCCAGAGCUCCUCUCUUACUCAGCACCAAAGCAUUCACACUGGAGAGAAACCUUAUAAAUGCAGCGUGUGGAAGAGCCUUCAGCCAGAAUGCAAACCUCACAAAACACCAACGCACUCACCCUGGAGAAAAGCCCUACAAAUGCACCGAGUGUGAGAAAGCCUUCAGUGACUGUUCAGCCCUGUUCAGCAUCAGAGAAUUCACACUGGAGAGAAACCCUACGAAUGCAGCAACUGUGGGAAGGCCUUUGGUCACAGUGCCAACCUCACAAACCACCAGAGGACUCACACAGGGGAGAAGCCCUACAGGUGCUGUGAGUGUGGGAAGGCCUUCAGUUACUGUGCAGCGUUCAUACAGCGUCAGAGGAUCCAUACAGGAGAGAAACCUUACAAAUGCAACGCAUGUGGGAAGGCCUUCAGCCAGAGAGCAGACCUCACAAACCACCAGAGGACUCACACUGGAGAGAAACCCUACAAGUGCGAGUGUGGGAAGGCCUUCAGCCAAAGUACAAAUCUUAUAAUCCACCAAAAGACCCACACUGGGGAGAAACCAUAAAGCAUUUAACCGGAGUUCAUCCCCUAGUCAGCAUCAGAGAAUUCACACUGGUGUGAAAGCCUACCAAUGUAGGGAGUGUGGGAAGGCCUGCAGGUGUAGUUCAGCUUUCAUUAGACACCAGACUCCAUGCUAGGGAGUAACUGGCAACAUGACCAACGUGGAUGGGGACCUGAUGGUUUGAAAGCCUCUGGAAACUUUUGCACCUUUAAUAAAGUGAUUAUUUCAUGUGGAA
This is an RNA transcript of Myotis daubentonii (Daubenton's bat), 5618 nucleotides long. It is a transcript of the gene named solute carrier family 2 member 8, with no coding region annotated. Lineage: Eukaryota; Metazoa; Chordata; Mammalia; Chiroptera; Vespertilionidae. The record is from RefSeq and is a predicted model, not a curated record.